UUUUGUGGGGUGCUCGAGUGGCGAACGGGUGAGUAACACGUGAGUAACCUGCCCUUGACUUUGGGAUAACUUCAGGAAACUGGGGCUAAUACCGGAUAGGAGCUCCUGCUGCAUGGUGGGGGUUGGAAAGUUUCGGCGGUUGGGGAUGGACUCGCGGCUUAUCAGCUUGUUGGUGGGGUAGUGGCUUACCAAGGCUUUGACGGGUAGCCGGCCUGAGAGGGUGACCGGCCACAUUGGGACUGAGAUACGGCCCAGACUCCUACGGGAGGCAGCAGUGGGGAAUAUUGCACAAUGGGCGGAAGCCUGAUGCAGCAACGCCGCGUGCGGGAUGACGGCCUUCGGGUUGUAAACCGCUUUCGCCUGUGACGAAGCGUGAGUGACGGUAAUGGGUAAAGAAGCACCGGCUAACUACGUGCCAGCAGCCGCGGUGAUACGUAGGGUGCGAGCGUUGUCCGGAUUUAUUGGGCGUAAAGGGCUCGUAGGUGGUUGAUCGCGUCGGAAGUGUAAUCUUGGGGCUUAACCCUGAGCGUGCUUUCGAUACGGGUUGACUUGAGGAAGGUAGGGGAGAAUGGAAUUCCUGGUGGAGCGGUGGAAUGCGCAGAUAUCAGGAGGAACACCAGUGGCGAAGGCGGUUCUCUGGGCCUUUCCUGACGCUGAGGAGCGAAAGCGUGGGGAGCGAACAGGCUUAGAUACCCUGGUAGUCCACGCUGUAAACGGUGGGUACUAGGUGUGGGGUCCAUUCCACGGGUUCCGUGCCGUAGCUAACGCUUUAAGUACCCCGCCUGGGGAGUACGGCCGCAAGGCUAAAACUCAAAGGAAUUGACGGGGCCCCGCACAAGCGGCGGAGCAUGCGGAUUAAUUCGAUGCAACGCGUANAACCUUACCUGGGUUUGACAUGGNUCGGGAGUGCUCANAGAUGGGUGUGCCUCUUUUGGGGUCGGUUCACNNNGGUGCAUGGCUGUCGU
This 965-nucleotide ribosomal RNA is filed under the name Propionibacterium sp. LG. RNAcentral's name for it is "bacterial SSU rRNA". It matches the Rfam family "Bacterial small subunit ribosomal RNA", at positions 78 to 1055 of the family's 1533-position model. The record is from RNAcentral. RNAcentral also lists the same sequence under 2 other names. Lineage: Bacteria; Bacillati; Actinomycetota; Actinomycetes; Propionibacteriales; Propionibacteriaceae.